UCAAAUUUCGCAAGCAAUCCAGCUACAUAGCUAUACUAGCUAGCUAGAGAGUCCUAGAACGCCUAGCCUUCAUCUAACUAACUUGUCUUCUCCAGAACAUCUUUUACUAAGCUUUAUGAGUAUACGGAAGUGCCCGGAAGGCAAUAAUUGAACUUCAAUUGUUCAUGAAGUUUGAGCGUCAUUUACUCAAGGUUGCAAUACCUUCGUAGCGUUCCCUCGAACAUAUCUCCGGAAAGAAAGUAGCUAGGAGGUCGAUCUUGGUAUCAUUUUGAAGCUUAAAGGACGCUCUAUCCGAUUCAACAAUAAAAACUGAUUUGAAACUGCCCGCGUUAAGGUCCCUUUUCAUUGGCACUGUCACAUGUUCAUCAUAACUAUAAUUAUGACCUUUGGCAUUCAGUCUUUGCAUGCUAGGACACUAUCACUGAGCCAGUAUAGUUAAUAGUCAGCUAAUUGCAACCGACUGUUAAUUUAUACCUCUGCAUAUAACAAUACUUGUGGCAUGCUCUUACGUAUAAUUAUUAGCUUUGUGGUCAUGCCAAGGGCGUAUAGAGAGAAGAGGGCAUGCAACUCGCCCUAUUCUCAGAAUCAUCCGACUUCGUAUUGAGCUAUUUUUAGAACUGCCCACAAAAACGCCCACGCGUAACCUUUGACCGCACAAGGUAAAUCAUUAUAUCUGUAUAAGCUAGCUCGAUUGCAGCAUAGUAAGCAUAGUAGUUCCCAGCAGUAUGGCUCGUACUAGCAGUGUCAAAGGCAAAGGCAAACCAUCCAACAGUUGCAACUCCAAGAAGAUGAAACCUAUAGGUACAAUAAACCUGUCUUCCUGAGUCUCUGGUACUUCUUAACAAUGCGCCCAGCACUUAACUUCCCGCUCGAAGGGGUUGUCUUGGACCUGGCUGGACUAGGAGUGGUCAUGACACUUCUCUAAAAUAAUACUGCACUGUUAGCUUUUCCCAUUGAAGCCGUCAUAAUUAUAACGGCCACUCUAGUAGUGAUUUUCAAAAGUUCACGUGGUAUCUUUAAUAAGCCGCCUCGAGGUACGCUUCGUACAGUAAUUUGUUGCAUUUUGAGUGGGCAGAUCAAAGGAAAUACUGUGCCAAUAUCUGCUAUAUCCGAAUAGCCGCGGUUAUGAUUUCAUACGUAGUACCGCCCACCGCGGAACCAAAAUCUAAGUGUGUUCUAAAGGAUUUAGUGCUGUCACGUGAGCUCUAGCCUCGUGGCAGCUAGAUCUAGCUACAUUUUAAAUCAGUUGCUGGUGGCUAGCUAGCUAGCUAGACGUAAUAGCAAGUUUUAGUAGGUUUGUAGAUCCAGUAACUGAUGCAAAGGAGAAGGAGAUACUAUCUAAAGCUAUCUGGACUGACUGGGCAUGUUCUCGACUUAUUUCUCCUGCUGAUCAACAGUCCCGAUCCCACUACUGGAUAUGCCUCCAGCUGAUCUGGCUUACUGGAUGGGAAACUUUGUGCGCAAACUAUAUGGCAAUGAGUAUCUGGUUUGCUCUUUUGGAACGCUAUGAUAUUCGAAGCAAUUAUAUGGAUCUGGCUUAGGUACAGGUACGUACAUCUUCGAAGCAAGCUGAGUCUAUUUCUCCAGACGAAAAAGCGAUGCUAUGGUCAAGUCAGCAAUUCGGUACACUUACUACACAUGAAACAAGUCGAAACGAUAACAUUCAACUUUCUAAUACUUUUCAGCUUUGCUUGUGUACGUAUUCAAUCUGCUUGUAUUAUUAUUAUAAUUAUGAUGACAUUCAGAUUCAAUCUGCUUGUAUUAUGGUUGUUUGAUAAAAAGUGUGCAUUAACAAACCAACUUAAAGCACACUUAACCAACUUAGAGCUCACUUAAGUGUGGAUUAAGUUAUUUAAUCCAUGGUCACCUGACUGCUUUCAGAUAAACUGAUUGGCUGGAGAUCAUGUGAUCAGCACUAAUUAAUUUUAAAUUACUUUCAUUAUCAGCUCCUAGCAAAGAAAGAUGCAUAGCUAAGAAGCAGUAGCAGUUUUCUGCAGGCAACUUUGUUGCAAACUAGUCUAGAAUAGUUAUUCUGCCAGGAUCUCUGAGUUUUGAACGGAGCAGGUAACCAGCCAAGGCCCCAGUGAAGGAUCAUUUCACAACAUUCACCUCUAGCAAAGAAAGAUGCAUAACUUGGAAACAGUGACAGUUUUCUUUAUUCAACUUUGUAGCAAAGUAGUCUACAGUAGUUACUGUGUCAGGAUCUCCUGGUUUCUAACGGAAAAGUCAAGCAGCCAAGGCCAGAGCGAGGGAUCUCUUCAGAGUGUGGCAAAGAAAGGUGCACCCCUUAGUAAGAGUAACAGUUCUCUUCAAGCUACCUUGUAGCUAGUUACUCUGUCAGGACCUCCAAUCUGAACAGUCAACCAGCCAAGGACAGAGCGAGAUUUUACUUCAGAGCUGUGAUGAAUGCUGGAAUUUUGUCUUGAAUCGGAGAUCGGAAAGUUUGGGCCAACAGAUUGGUUGAGAUGGUGGGAGUCCAUAGUCAGGCCAGGAGUGGAACUGCUUACAGUCUGUGAAACUAUCGUCACUGCUAUCUGCCAUGGAACCACCACCAUCUUAUGGGUCUGAGAAGGUCUACUCACUGUGACUACUAUCCAGGAUACCUAGGAGUACCUCAUCCCCUGUGUACAGAGGCCUCUUAGUCAUUGUUGUACCAUAGAAUUAAUUGUAAUUGUAUUUAUUAUAAUGUAUGUUCACUUUUGAGAUUGAUAUUGAAAUACAAAUUUCACAUGAAAAUUUCAGCAAA
Halichondria panicea is the source of this 2746-nucleotide long non-coding RNA. RefSeq lists it as uncharacterized. Lineage: Eukaryota; Metazoa; Porifera; Demospongiae; Suberitida; Halichondriidae. The record is from RefSeq and is a predicted model, not a curated record. The transcript is spliced from 6 exons.